RNAcentral lists this ribosomal RNA (497 nucleotides) under uncultured bacterium. RNAcentral describes it as "partial 16S ribosomal RNA". It matches the Rfam family "Bacterial small subunit ribosomal RNA", at positions 28 to 507 of the family's 1533-position model. The record is from RNAcentral.
GAUGAACGCUGGCGGCGUGCCUAACACAUGCAAGUCGAGCGGACAGACCAGGAGCUUGCUCCGCUCACGUUAGCGGCACACGGGUGAGUAACACGUGGAUACCCUACCUAUAAGAGUGGUAUAACCUCGGGACACCGGAUCUAAUCCCGUAUAAUAUACUGAACCGCAUGGUUCAUUAGUGAAAGACGGCUUUGCUGUCACUUAUCGCUGAAUCCGGGCCGCAUGAGGUAGUUGUUACGGUAACCGCGUACCACGGCGAUGAUGCGUAGCCGACCUGACAGGGUGAACGCCCACACGAGAACGGAGACGCGGUCGAGAGGACUACGGGAGGCACCAGUCGGGAACCUUCCGCAAUGGGCGAAAGCCUGACGCAGCGACGCCGCGCGAGUGGUGAAGGCGCUCGGAGCGUAAAGCUCUGUUACGAGGGAAGAACGACUGUCUCAGUAACCAUGCACGUCUUGACGGUACCUAGUAAAGAAGCAACGGCUAACUACGUG